CCCAAGGUAAGCCAACCUAAAGCAAGCUUACUCCAUCCUUACAAUCUUUUCUUUCCACUAUUCUCAAAACUCUGACUAACUUAAGCAUCAGAGGAUCUCUCGUAGGAACAACCCUAGUGAGUGUGGACUUUUUUUUGCUUAGUAGAGUUUGCCUCGAGGGUCUCCUUAUUAUCUUCUUAUAUAGGGAGGUUUCAGAGUUUAUUAGGCCUAAACCCAUAGGUGUCAGGUCUGAGCCAGUAGGUUGUUAUUCACACGUGUUUAUUACACCCAUGUAGCCACAUUCCGAGAAUUUGUUGGGAGAUUCCAAUAGAUUGCCCAUAUGGCAAAAUGAGUUGGC
This 337-nucleotide long non-coding RNA is filed under the name Elaeis guineensis (African oil palm). RNAcentral describes it as "long non-coding RNA (EGUI_LNC070711)". The record is from RNAcentral. Lineage: Eukaryota; Viridiplantae; Streptophyta; Magnoliopsida; Arecales; Arecaceae.